Molecule: ribosomal RNA, 253 nt
Filed under: uncultured bacterium
Lineage: Bacteria
Description: partial 16S ribosomal RNA
Rfam family: Bacterial small subunit ribosomal RNA
Source: RNAcentral
UACGUAGGGGGCAAGCGUUGUCCGGAUUUAUUGGGCGUAAAGAGCGUGUAGGCGGCCAGGUAGGUCCGUUGUGAAAACUCGAGGCUCAACCUCGAGACGCCGAUGGAAACCAUCUGGCUAGAGUCCGGAAGAGGAGAGUGGAAUUCCUGGUGUAGCGGUGAAAUGCGCAGAUAUCAGGAAGAACACCCGUGGCGAAGGCGGCUCUCUGGGACGGUACUGACGCUGAGGCGCGAAAGCGUGGGGAGCAAACAGG